Molecule: ribosomal RNA, 532 nt
Filed under: uncultured bacterium
Lineage: Bacteria
Description: partial 16S ribosomal RNA
Source: RNAcentral
GGAGUUAGCCGGUGCUUCUUCUGCGAGUAACGUCACAGAUGUAAGGUAUUAACUUACACCCUUUCCUCCUCGCUGAAAGUGCUUUACAACCCGAAGGCCUUCUUCACACACGCGGCAUGGCUGCAUCAGGGUUUCCCCCAUUGUGCAAUAUUCCCCACUGCUGCCUCCCGUAGGAGUCUGGGCCGUGUCUCAGUCCCAGUGUGGCUGAUCAUCCUCUCAGACCAGCUAGGGAUCGUCGCCUAGGUGAGCCUUUACCUCACCUACUAGCUAAUCCCACCUGGGCUUAUCCAUCAGCGCAAGGCCCGAAGGUCCCCUGCUUUCCCCCGUAGGGCGUAUGCGGUAUUAGCAGUCGUUUCCAACUGUUAUCCCCCACAAAUGGGCAAAUUCCCAGGCAUUACUCACCCGUCCGCCGCUCGUCAUCUUCAAAAGCAAGCUUUUGAAAUGUUACCGCUCGACUUGCAUGUGUUAGGCCUGCCGCCAGCGUUCAAUCUGAGCCAGUANACAACUACUNACNGAGCGGCGUGCGACGCGC